RNAcentral lists this RNase P RNA (355 nucleotides) under Bifidobacteriaceae bacterium. RNAcentral's name for it is "RNase P RNA component class A". It matches the Rfam family "Bacterial RNase P class A". Rfam says of the family: Ribonuclease P (RNase P) is a ubiquitous endoribonuclease, found in archaea, bacteria and eukarya as well as chloroplasts and mitochondria. Its best characterised activity is the generation of mature 5'-ends of tRNAs by cleaving the 5'-leader elements of precursor-tRNAs. Lineage: Bacteria; Bacillati; Actinomycetota; Actinomycetes; Bifidobacteriales; Bifidobacteriaceae. The record is from RNAcentral.
UGAGUCGGCUGGACGGUCGCGACGCGGGCCUUGGGGCUGGCGCCGAGGAAAGUCCGGGCUCCUCAGAGCAGGGUGGUGGGUAACGCCCACCCGGGGUGACCCGCGGGAAAGUGCCACAGAAAACAGACCGCCGCGCGUCGCGCGGUAAGGGUGAAACGGCGGUGUAAGAGACCACCAGCGCCCAGGGCGACCUGGGCGGCUAGGUAAACCCCACCCGGAGCAAGGCCAGACAGGCGGCGUUCGAGGGCUGCUCGCCCAAGCCGCCGGGUAGGUCGCUUGAAGCCAGUGGCAACACUGGCCCUAGAUGGAUGGCCGUCUUGAAUGACAGAACCCGGCUUACAGGCCGACUCAUCCC